This 231-nucleotide ribosomal RNA is filed under the name Curtobacterium sp. EP_L_1. RNAcentral's name for it is "partial 16S ribosomal RNA". It matches the Rfam family "Bacterial small subunit ribosomal RNA", at positions 28 to 258 of the family's 1533-position model. Lineage: Bacteria; Bacillati; Actinomycetota; Actinomycetes; Micrococcales; Microbacteriaceae. The record is from RNAcentral.
GACGAACGCUGGCGGCGUGCUUAACACAUGCAAGUCGAACGAUGAUCAGGAGCUUGCUCCUGUGAUUAGUGGCGAACGGGUGAGUAACACGUGAGUAACCUGCCCCUGACUCUGGGAUAAGCGUUGGAAACGACGUCUAAUACUGGAUAUGAUCACUGGCCGCAUGGUCUGGUGGUGGAAAGAUUUUUUGGUUGGGGAUGGACUCGCGGCCUAUCAGCUUGUUGGUGAGGU